CUACAAUAUUUUCUAUUAACACAACAUUAUUCAUUAUAGAGUUAGGUUAUUAUAUUUUUAUAGAAAUAAUUGCCUACAUACCUCUCAAAACUUUUAAAAUAUCUUAUUUAUUUUUAUUUUUUUCUUUUCAAUAUAUCCUGCAUAUGAUCCUCUAUAGUUACCACCCAUUAAAUUAACUUAGAUUAAACGUGAGUUAAAUAUCUAUCACAGUUAAAAAAAAACUAAAAUACCACUUUUAUCCUUAACUUAAGGGCAAAUAAAAAAUAUUGGUGAUGGUAGAAUGGUAUAUUUGAAAAGGCCAAAAAGCAAAAUACUUUUUAUGCCCUUAACUUAGGCUUCGUUUGGGAUUGCGCGGAGCUUGCGUUAUGUGCGGUAAGAAAGUACGUUGAAAAAUGCUCUAUUAGUUUCUGUACGUAAUAUUAUAUUCCGCAUAUCGCGAUGAGUCCGUUACAAUAUAUUUUCUACGGUCCCACCGGAGAACGCAGAAGCAUAUCUCUAUAUGCUUUUUCCUCAAUUUCAUUUUAUCUAAUAGCAUUAGAUAUGCCUCGAUACCAAACUAAUCCUUAAGGGCAGGAGUAUAUUUGAAAGGGUAAAAUAGUAAUUUCAUAGAGAUAACAGAGUUCACUGUAUGAUAGGUUGGAAUGUAAAAAUGAUAUUUUCAAUAUUAGCCUUUUAAGAGGGAUAAAUCAGAAAGUUAGAGUUUCAUAAGUAUAGUUUUCUUUAUAAAUUUUCGAUUGUUAGAUCUACCUGUUUGACCAUUUCCAUCUAUUAAAUCAUACUAUUCAAUCAACCACCCACUUAACCCUGUGAGACUGCUAUCAUCCUAACCGCACAUUAUUUCAUCCAACGACCAAAAAAUUAUAAGUACAAACAGAUCUAUACUCAUAAAGGUAUAGUAGCUUUACUCUUUAUCUAUUAACAGCAAAUCAUAUCUUUUCUUUUGAAUAAAAAGUAUAAUAAAAAUAUUUUUUAUUAAUCAUGAUGGGACAGGUGAUCCAAAAAGACCAAUCUGAUUGAUUAGUGACGUCACAUCCCCUUGUUGGGAGCCAUUGAUUUGUUAUCAUGCGAUUAUUUUGGCCGCAAUACUAACCGUAAUACUUGAAGGUAUUGUUUAAUUCAGGAAUAAGCAUAAAUUGCUUAUUCUUGAGAUACCUGCACUUUCAAAAAUAAGAAACAAAACUAUUUUAGUGUUUGGAUGGUUAAAUUAGAACAGAGAGAAUAAGAAUAAUUAUAAUUUUAAUUAAAUUUUUUAUCUAAUUAAUUAGUUCGAUUAUUAGUUAAAUUAAUUUAAUUAGUCAAACUAUUAAUUAGUUUAUAAAUAUUAAUUAUUAGAUAAACACAUUAAAUAAUUAGUUUUUAAUGAGCUAAUUAACCAUAACUAAUAAAUUAAUUAAUUACUUAACUAUGUAAGUAAUAGUUAAUAACUUAAAUAUAUUAGUUAGAUUAAUUAAUAGGUUAAUUCA
RNAcentral lists this long non-coding RNA (1463 nucleotides) under Ananas comosus (pineapple). Its description in RNAcentral is "long non-coding RNA (ACOM_LNC028417)". Lineage: Eukaryota; Viridiplantae; Streptophyta; Magnoliopsida; Poales; Bromeliaceae. The record is from RNAcentral.